This 496-nucleotide ribosomal RNA is filed under the name uncultured bacterium. Its description in RNAcentral is "partial 16S ribosomal RNA". It matches the Rfam family "Bacterial small subunit ribosomal RNA", at positions 29 to 507 of the family's 1533-position model. The record is from RNAcentral.
AUGAACGCUGGCGGCGUGCCUAAUACAUGCCAGUCGAGCGAACGGACGAGAAGCUUGCUUCUCUGAUGUUAGCGGCGGACGGGUGAGUAGCACGUGGAUAACCUACCUAUAAGACUGGGAUAACUUCGGGAAACCGGAGCUAAUACCGGAUAAUAUUUUGAACCGCAUGGUUCAAAAGUGAAAGACGGUCUUGCUGUCACUUAUAGAUGGAUCCGCGCUGCAUUAGCUAGUUGGUAAGGUAACGGCUUACCAAGGCAACGAUGCAUAGCCGACCUGAGAGGGUGAUCGGCCACACUGGAACUGAGACACGGUCCAGACUCCUACGGGAGGCAGCAGUAGGGAAUCUUCCGCAAUGGGCGAAAGCCUGACGGAGCAACGCCGCGUGAGUGAUGAAGGUCUUCGGAUCGUAAAACUCUGUUAUUAGGGAAGAACAUAUGUGUAAGUAACUGUGCACAUCUUGACGGUACCUAAUCAGAAAGCCACGGCUAACUACGUG